UUUCAAAUGUUGGAGAAAAGCAUGCAAAACCAAGUGCAUUGGACUAAACAGCCAGGGUCAGGCCUGUGUCUGUCGUGACCUAGCUUUGCAACCCUGACCAAGGGAAAAAUAGCCCCAUAAUACCCUGGCUCCUGUAGAGGCCUGCCUUCAGAUUACCAAUUUGGGAAUGAGGAAGGAAAAGCAGUCAUCUGAAGGAUUCCGUGAAGAGCUCCUCAGAUCCGCCCACCACCCACACGGCCACCCGGAGCGCAGGUAGAAGCGCAUGCGCAGGUCGCCCAGAGCCGCGGCUCUCAGGCCCACACUACGCCUUGUGAAGCCAUGCGUGACUCCUUCUACCUCUUGAGGUCAAGAACAGCAUUUCCAACUGCCCACGAGAUAUCUCUUCCUCUAUGCUCUUCGUCCAUCUGUUAGUCAUAGACUCAUCAGACAUUGAAUGAGUGCCACCACGUCACAGGUUCUAUCAAAGUAUCAAGGAUCUACAGAGGAAUGAGGCAUAGUCCACAUGCAAGAUGUCUAAUGUCCAC
This is a long non-coding RNA of Eubalaena glacialis (North Atlantic right whale), 524 nucleotides long. RefSeq lists it as uncharacterized. NCBI's taxonomy places the organism in Eukaryota, Metazoa, Chordata, Mammalia, Artiodactyla, Balaenidae. The record is from RefSeq and is a predicted model, not a curated record. The transcript is spliced from 4 exons.